UUUUAUAUAAACUAGAAUAAUUAUUAAUUAAUAUGCAUCCAUUGAUUCCACAAUUCCAUUCCAUUCUUGCCGCGCCCUUUGAAGAAAAAGGGAGGGAAAAUGAAAAUUAUAAAAAAAGCUGAAAAUGAAACAAAAAAGAGGGAAAGAUGGGUCGGCUGCCGCCCUUUGAAGAAAAAGAAGGGAGGGAAAAAUGAAAAUUAUAAGAAAAGCUGAAAAGGAAACAAAAAAUAGAGGGAAAAUGAAAAUUAAUAAAAUUGGUGAGAAAUUUUUAUUUUUUUUAAGUUAUUAACUUUUUAUCACACAUAUCCCACUAUUAAUGAUACGUGAUGUACUACUCUGUGUACCGGUCAAUUAUACGUACAAAAUAAAUAUAUUUAAAUCUACUUAAUAUAUAUAUAUAUACACACACACCAUUGAACUUGAUGAGAUACGAAUUAUACGAAACUAAUUUCAACGAUCCAACCGUCGAACUUAUUUGUAUAUGCUUCGAGAUCGUAUUAGCAAAAAAUCGCAAAAAACAAACAUUCAAAGAUAAAGUAACGGAACAAAACUUUUCGAUGGUUAUAAAACGAAAAAUCACGAUUUAACGGUUAUUACUCCGAUUUUGAUUAGUUUUUAUAGCUUCAAUCCUUAAUCCAAUAUGAAUACAACGAAUGAAUUCCAUCUUCAAUUCAAAAUAUUUACACUAGUGGAUACUUAAUGAAAGUAUGAAUAAACUCUUAAGUAUUAGUGAAUCUAUUGUUUUGAUGGGAUACUCAUUCUACAAAACUAGUUUCAAUGAUCCAACCGUCAAACAUGUUUGUAUAUACUUCGAGAUCGCAUACGCCAAAAAAUUGCAAAAAACAAACAUUCAUAGAUCAAGUAACGGGACAAAACUUUUCGACGGUUAUAAAACGAAAAAUCACAAUUUAACGGUUAUUUUAACUCUGAUUUUGAUGAUUUUUUACAGCUACACUCCUUGACACUAAAUGAAUACAAUGGACGAAUUCAAUCUUCAAUUUAAAAUAUUUGCACUAGUGGAUACCACAAAAUCUUAUGUUAUACUUAAUGAAAAUAUGAAUAAACUAUUAAAUAUUAGUGAAUCUAUUGUUUUAAUGGGAUACUCAAUCUACGAAACUAGUUUCAAUGAUCCAACCGUCAAACAUGUUUGUAUAUACUUCGAGAUUGCAUACGCCAAAAAUUGCAAAAAACAAACAUUCAUAGAUCAAGUAACGGGACAAAACUUUUCUACGGUUAUAAAAAGAAAAAUCACGAUUUAACGGUCAUUUUAACUCCGAUUUUGAUGAUUUUUUACAGCUACACUCCUUGACCCUAUAUGAAUACAAUGAUUGAAUUCGAUCUUCAAUUUCAAAUAUUUACAUUACUGGAUACCACAAAUCUUAUCUUAUACUUAAUGAAAGUAUGAAUAAAACUUUUAAGUGUUAGUGAAUCUAUUGUUUUGAUGAGAUACACGCAUUCUACGAAACUAGUUUCAACGAUCCAAUCGUCAAACAUGUUUGUAUAGACUUCGAGAUCGCAUACGCCAAAAAUUGCAAAAAACAAAUAUUCAGAGAUCAAGUAACGGGACAAAACUUUUUGACGGUUAUAAACGAAAAAUCACGGUUUAAAGGUUAUUUUAACUCCAAUUUUGAUGAUUUUUUACAGCUACACUCCUUGACCCUAUAUGAAUACAAUGAAUGAAUUCGAUCUUCAAUUUGAAAUAUUUACACUAGCAAAAUCUUAUGUUAUACUUAAUGAAAGUAUGAAUAAAACUCUUAAGUAUUAGUGAAUCUAUUGUUUUGAUGAGGUACUCAAUCUACAAAACGAGUUUGAAUGAUCCAACCGUCAAACAUGUUUGUAUAUACUUAGAGAUCACAUGCGCCAAAAAUUGCAAAAAACAAACAUUCAGAGAUCAAGUAACGAGACAAAACGUUUCAACGGUUAUAAAACAAAAAAUCAUAAUUUAACGGUUUAACUCUAAUUUUGAUGAUUUUUUAUAGCUACACUCCUUGACCCUAUAUGAAUACAAUAAAUGAAUUCAAUCUUCAAUUUAAAAUAUUUACACUAGUUGAUACCGCAAAAUCUUAUCUUAUACUUAAUGAAAGUAUGAAUAAAUUCUUAAGUAUUAGUGAAUCUAUUGUUUUAAUGGGAUACUCAAUCUACGAAACUAGUUCAAUGAUCCAACCGUCAAACAUGUUUGUAUAUACUUCGAGAUCGUAUACGCCAAAAAUUGCAGAAAACAAACAUUCAUAUAUCAAGUAAUGGGACAAAACUUUUCAACAAUUAUAAAAAGAAAAAUCACGAUUUAACAAUCAUUUUAACUCCGAUUUUGAUGAUUUUUUGCAGCUACACUCAUUGACCCUAUAUGAAUACAAUGAUUGAAUUCGAUCUUCAAUUUAAAAUAUGCACACUAGUGGAUACCACAAAUCCUAUGUUGUACUUAAUGAAAGUAUGAAUAAAACUUUUAAGUGUUAGUGAAUCUAUUGUUUUGAUGAGAUACACGCAUUCUACAAAACUAGUUUCAACGAUCCAAUCGUCAAACAUGUUUGUAUAGACUUCGAGAUCGCAUACGCCAAAAUUUGAAAAAACAAACAUUCAGAGAUCAAGUAACGGGACAAAACGUUUCGACGGUUAUAAACGAAAAAUCACGAUUUAACGGUUAUUUUAACUCCGAUUUUGAUGAUUGUUUACAGCUACACUCCUUGACCCUAUAUGAAUACAAUGAAUGAAUUCGAUCUUCAAUUUGAAAUAUUUACACUAGCAAAAUCUUAUGUUAUACUUAAUGAAAGUAUGAAUAAACUCUUAAGUAUGAGUGAAUCUAUUGUUUUGAUGAGGAACUCAAUCUACAAAACGAGUUUCAAUGAUCCAACCGUCAAAUAUGUUUGUAUAUACUUCGAGAUCGCAUAGCCAAAAAUUGCAAAAAACAAACAUUCAGAGAUCAAGUAAUGGGACAAAACUUUUUGACGGUUAUAAAACAAAAAAUCAUAAUUUAACGGUCAUUUUAACUCUGAUUUUGAUGAUUUUUUACAGCUACACUCCUUGACCCUAUAUGAAUACAAUGAAUGAAUUUGAUCGUCAAUUUAAAAUAUCUACACAAGUGGAUACCACAAAAUCUUAUGUUAUACUUAAUGAAAGUAUGAAUAAACUCUUAAGUAUUAGUGAAUCUAUUGUUUUGAUGGGAUACUCAAUCUACGAAACUAGUUUCAAUAAUCCAACCGUCAAACAUGUUUGUAUAUACUUCGAGAUCGCAUACGCCAAAAAUUGCAAAAAACAUACAUUCAUAGAUCAAUUAACGGGACAAAACUUUUCGACGGUUAUAAAAAGAAAAAUCACGAUUUAACAGUCAUUUUAACUUUGAUUUUGAUAAUUUUUUGCAGCUACACUCCUUGACCCUAUAUGAAUACAAUGAUUGAAUUCGAUCUUCAAUUUAAAAUAUUUACACUAAUGAAUACCACAAAUCUUAUGUUAUAUUUAAUGAAAGUAUGAAUAAAACUUUUAAGUGUUAGUGAAUCUAUUGUUUUGAUGAGAUACACGCAUUCUACGAAACUAGUUUCAACAAUCCAAUCGUUAAACAUGGUUGUAUAUACUUCGAGAUCGCAUACGCCAAAAAUUGCAAAAAACAAACAUUCAGAGAUCAAGUAACGGGACAAAACUUUUCAACGGUUAUAAAAUGAAAAAUCACGAUUUAACGGUUAUUUUAACUCCGAUUUUGAUGAUUUUUUACAGCUACACUCCUUGCCCCUAUAUGAAUACAACGAAUGAAUUCGAUCUUCAAUUUAAAAUAUUUACACUAGUGGAUAUCACAAAAUCUUAUGUUAUACUUACUAAAAGUUAGAAUAA
RNAcentral lists this long non-coding RNA (3819 nucleotides) under Malus domestica (apple). RNAcentral's name for it is "long non-coding RNA (MDOM_LNC018061)". Lineage: Eukaryota; Viridiplantae; Streptophyta; Magnoliopsida; Rosales; Rosaceae. The record is from RNAcentral.